Molecule: long non-coding RNA, 174 nt
Organism: Sander lucioperca (pikeperch)
Lineage: Eukaryota; Metazoa; Chordata; Actinopteri; Perciformes; Percidae
Exons: 3
Source: RefSeq, a predicted model, not a curated record
UACAAAACAACUAAACAUCAACCUAUAGUAUAUACAGGCUAUUACACCAAUGCCGUCUUAACCUAGAAGUGUAUCUAUAACAGCUUUUCAGAGGGCUGACUAGGGCUUCAAUUAUGUGGUUCUCUGACUUGUCCAGGCGACACAUGAAACUAAACAUCAGUUGUCUUAAGAGUG